AAUCAACGCUGGCGGCGUGCCUAACACAUGCAAGUCGAACGCGAGAGGGGCUUCGGCCCCGAUUGAGUGGCGAACGGGUGAAUAACGCGUGGGUGACCUACCUUCGAGUGGGGGAUAACGUCCCGAAAGGGACGCUAAUACCGCAUAACAUCCUGCUUUUGAAUGGGUGGAGAUCAAAGCCGGGGAUCGCAAGACCUGGCGCUUGAUGAGGGGCCCGCGUCUGAUUAGCAGUUGGUGAGGUAACGGCCCACCAAGGCAACGAUCAGUAUCCGGCCUGAGAGGGCGGACGGACACACUGGGACUGAGACACGGCCCAGACUCCUACGGGAGGCAGCAGUGGGGAAUUGUUCGCAAUGGGCGCAAGCCUGACGACGCAACGCCGCGUGGAGGAU
RNAcentral lists this ribosomal RNA (392 nucleotides) under uncultured bacterium. Its description in RNAcentral is "bacterial SSU rRNA". It matches the Rfam family "Bacterial small subunit ribosomal RNA", at positions 29 to 409 of the family's 1533-position model. The record is from RNAcentral.